RNAcentral lists this ribosomal RNA (253 nucleotides) under uncultured bacterium. Its description in RNAcentral is "partial 16S ribosomal RNA". It matches the Rfam family "Bacterial small subunit ribosomal RNA", at positions 524 to 776 of the family's 1533-position model. The record is from RNAcentral.
UACGAAAGGUCCAAGCGUUACUCGGAAUUACUGGGCGUAAAGCGCGCGUAGGCGGUCUUGUAUGUCGAUUGUGAAAGCCCCGGGCUCAACCUGGGAACUGCAGUCGAAACUGCAAGACUUGAGUACGGCAGAGGGGGGUAGAAUUCCUGGUGUAGCAGUGAAAUGCGUAGAUAUCAGGAGGAAUACCGAUGGCGAAGGCAGCCCCCUGGGUCAAGAUUGACGCUCAUGCACGAAAGCGUGGGGAGCAAACAGG